Molecule: ribosomal RNA, 452 nt
Filed under: uncultured bacterium
Lineage: Bacteria
Description: bacterial SSU rRNA
Rfam family: Bacterial small subunit ribosomal RNA
Source: RNAcentral
AUUGAACGCUGGCGGAAUGCUUUACACAUGCAAGUCGAACGGUAGAGGGGGCAACCCCUCGAGAGUGGCGAACGGGUGAGUAAUAUAUCGGAACGUGCCCAGUCGUGGGGGAUAACGUAGCGAAAGUUACGCUAAUACCGCAUACGAUCUACGGAUGAAAGCGGGGGAUCGCAAGACCUCGCGCGAUUGGAGCGGCCGAUAUCAGAUUAGGUAGUUGGUGGGGUAAAGGCUCACCAAGCCAACGAUCUGUAGCUGGUCUGAGAGGACGACCAGCCACACUGGGACUGAGACACGGGUCCAGACUCCUACGGGAGGCAGCAGUGGGGAAUAUUGGACAAUGGGCGCAAGCCUGACCAGCCAUGCCGCGUGCAGGAUAAGGUCUUAUGGAUUGUAAACUGCUUUUAUACUAGGAGAACCCUCCCACGUGUGGGGAUAAUUGACGGUACUGUAUG